CCGGGGCGGGCAGGUAAAUCCCCCCGCCCCCGCCCCGCCCCCGCCCCGCCUCCCCCAGCGGCGCCCCGGGCCCAAGGCCGCACGCCAGGAUACAGAAAUAGGAACGGUUUAAUCCGGAGACACGUCCCCCCUGCUGCCCAUUUCUCAAUCCGCGAGUUCAGAGGAGGAGGUGGGGGGGGGCGCUGAAUCGGAUCGAACUCGGGUUUUGGGGGCCGAAAAUGGCCGGAGCAGGAAGCGCGGGGCCGGGCGCUACCUUGUAACUGAGUUGGGUUCUUGCAGGGGUACGACGAAGGCGGCCUGGGGUCGCCCAUGGACCCCUGGAGUAACCUCGGUGCGGCCCGGCCGCCGGGCACCCCGUACUCGGACGAGGGCGGGGCGCGGAGUCCCUCCCAGGGGCCUCCCUGAAGGGGUCUCCGGGGAAGGAGGGGUCACACGUGGGUCCUUAACCCGUCCGAUGCAGCUGCAUCAUCCACCCCGGAAUGAAGCGGCACAGCAUCUGCGACACGGAUGGAGAGAUGCUACAGGACCAGGUCUGGUCCGUACACUUCCACACAUCACUACCAGUAUUCCGGGGGAAGUUGGUGCCGGAUUAAGCUGAUUCGAAACGUGGGGCGGCCCGUGACGCACUGCGCCCGUGAAUGUGCCCAUUGUGCGGUGGAGACCCGGCAGGNCAGGCGCUCCGCGCUCACAAGUCGGGUGGGCAGCAGAACUUUUCACUGACCGUGAGUGGGUCACAUUCUAGAAUUUGCCAUGGACUAAGUAUGAACUUCCAGGGAGACAAUAAAAUACGAAGUUGUAAGGUACACGCUGUCCUUCACUUUUCUACGCAAUUCACACCAAUUUCCAUAAUCCCACUUUUCUGUACGUUCUGCGCCAGGCGAGUGGGCUCCGGACCCCCGGCGCGCGAGGGCGCGCCCGUCGCGUGGGAACGAGACGGAAGGAACCGUACAUUUCGAGUCCCCGGUUGCUGAGAAGCAUAAUCAUAUCACUCCUCUUUUCUUCCCCAUUUGCAGGUUUCGACUUGAAUCCGAAAGCGCCUCUUACCGCCCAUUCUUUGCAGGAGGGCAGAGGGGGCAGGGUCUCCUUUUGGACUGCUGCGCGCCCAUCUAGCUGUCCAGACUCAGAUGCAAGCGUGUCCACGUCUACGACACAGAGCUGUGCACAUCAGGAGCCUGCGGAUGCGCGGGGCUGGUCGCACUUAACAGUGUGCAUACACAUGGGCGCAUGCACGCGCGCGCGCGCGCGCACACACACACACUCACACCCCAAAUUACCUCCGGGAUGGAGAAAGCCGCUCCGGAUUGGCCGGCAGGGCCGUCACUCACACCCAGGGGGCAGGGAGACUUUGCAAGGCUGUUUCCUUUUUUUUUUUUUUUUUUUCCUUCCCUCCCUACCGUUUCAUUUAAUGGUAAAACAACAGCAGAGCCCUGAAAGUUAGCCAUCUGCGCGGAGAGUUUGCUUUCUUUAACGACGGGGGCGUCAGACAAUAUCCAUUUAAAUAUAUUUUGUACUUCCACAAUGGAUGAAAAGGGAAAUUAGCAGUCCGGGAUGGGGGCGGAGAGGGAGCGAGGAGUAAGGAGGAGGGGGUCAUCCGGGGGGUGGACGCAGAGUGAAGAGUUGUUCUCAACGCCCAAAAGAGAUUUUGACCUCUACUGAUCUCGAAAUUAAAAAAUGUUUUUCACAGAUCAGAUUAUAACAAAUGCCGGCCCUCAUUGAUGCACUCAUUAUUUUAAUUUUAUUAUUUAAGCAUGCGCCAGCAAUCGUGUUUCCUUAAGAAAGA
This 1780-nucleotide long non-coding RNA is filed under the name Lynx pardinus (Iberian lynx). Lineage: Eukaryota; Metazoa; Chordata; Mammalia; Carnivora; Felidae. The record is from RNAcentral.